Callorhinus ursinus (northern fur seal) is the source of this 1283-nucleotide non-coding RNA. NCBI's taxonomy places the organism in Eukaryota, Metazoa, Chordata, Mammalia, Carnivora, Otariidae. The record is from RefSeq and is a predicted model, not a curated record.
CUUACUUUUGGAAUUUCGGAAGAGUGAAGACAGGAAGCAGAAGCAGAAGUCAAGAAAACGUCCUUGGCUUCAAGUUAGAAGGCCAAAAGAACAGAGAAGAAGAGUAAUAUUUCUGUAUGCUGUAAUGGAUGACCUGUGUUGCAAAUACAAUACCAUCUGGCAGAUAUGGCAAUCAGGAGUUACUUCCCUGUGAAGUCUGUGGAAGACGCUUUGCAGCAGAUGUUCUGGAAAGGCAUGGACCAAUAUGUAGAAAACUCUUCAACAAAAAACGUAAACCUUUCAAUUCCUUGAAACAAAGAUUACAGGGCACUGACAUUCCCAUUGUGAGAAAGGCUCCUCAAUCCAAGCCUCAACCUGUGAGGAGAUCUAACUGGAGACAACAACAUGAAGACUUCAUUAAUGCCAUCCGAUCGGCAAAACAGUGUACACUAGCCAUUAAAGAAGGCCGACCUCUCCCACCUCCACCUCCUCCAUCCAUCAGCCCAGAUUAUAUUCAAUGCCCAUAUUGUCUGAGGAGAUUUAAUGAGACUGCAGCCAACCGACAUAUUAAUUUCUGCAAGGGUCAGUCUUCUCGCCGAGUCUUUGAUCCAGCCCAAACAGCAGCCAAGCUGGCAUCGAGAGUACAGGCUAGGGCUCAAAUGAGUCCAAAAAAAGAGCCAACUGUAACCAGUGCCGUGGGAGCCCUGCUGCAGAACAGGGCCCUGGCGGUCCCAAAUGUGGCCCCAACAAGGCCAGGAUUAGCUGUGGACCCUACUUCUGGAGCAAAACUCAGACAAGGACUUGCUAAAUCUUCUAAAAAAGAUUAACUCCUAGAGGCCAGACUGUCUCCCUUUAACUCAUCAGCCUGGAUGGCUGUGUACCCAGGAAUGCCACCUAAGGGGAAGGAAAGGCGGACAGCUGUUUAUAAGCCCAUGAUUCUUCUUGAGACAUAAUGGAGAACAAGGAAAUCAGGUAUGUGUCCUGGAAUGGACUGAAGACUACUAAGCCAUAUAAAAGUAUUUGUGGAAGCUUCUAUGAAUGGAUCUUGGGAGAUUUUGCUAAGGUGAGCCAGUACUCUCCCUCUCCUCGUGCUCUGGCAGAUCACCUUCUCUCGGAGAGGUUAAACUGUACAUUAAGGCUCUACCACGUCAGUUCCACAUACUACAGCCAAGCCCCAGGCCACUUGUCUGCUGCCCGUCAUGGUCCUCGGCAUCACUGGAGCUCCUAGAGGGAAAGGAGACAACGGGGCAGCCUUCAACUGAAACUGGGGCGAGAUGGAGUGGAAGGUGCUCAGAAGGUCUCCA